Long non-coding RNA from Corticium candelabrum, 455 nucleotides. RefSeq lists it as uncharacterized. The record is from RefSeq and is a predicted model, not a curated record. NCBI's taxonomy places the organism in Eukaryota, Metazoa, Porifera, Homoscleromorpha, Homosclerophorida, Plakinidae. The transcript is spliced from 3 exons.
AUCAUUGAUUUCUUCUACAACCUACGGCAUUCUUGACUGACCACCUUCAAACACUUCGAAGUCAUCAGUCGGUGCGACUGUCAAACGUGGCCAAAUGUUCGAUAGACUUUGCCGUCAAGUUGUCUGCAGUAGAGAUCAGUGUCGUGGUGAGGGAGGCUAUACAGAUGGGACACGACAAGACCGUUUGGUGUACCAUACAUGCUGCAGACAGAAGACCAGCCGUAACAUACAUUGAGGAAACGAAAGCGACUCGGUAGCGCCAUUUAGGCGUUCAAGAAUCCUACUACGUCUUGUCUAUGUGAUGUUGUUGCAUGAGCAAACGAGAAACUUGAAUACAAUGUCGAUGCAGAGGGAGUAGAUGUUUGUACUGGAAGAUGAAUAAGUAAAAGCUACGCCCUGCUUUAAGAAUUCAAAGUCAGUCUUUGUAUGUGUACGUACUGUCGUUGCAUGGUUGU